RNAcentral lists this ribosomal RNA (402 nucleotides) under uncultured bacterium. RNAcentral's name for it is "bacterial SSU rRNA". It matches the Rfam family "Bacterial small subunit ribosomal RNA", at positions 355 to 774 of the family's 1533-position model. The record is from RNAcentral.
UGGGGAAUAUUGGACAAUGGGCGCAAGCCUGAUCCAGCAAUGCCGCGUGGAUGAAGAAGGUUUUCGGAUUGUAAAGUCCUUUCGGCGGGGACGAUGAUGACGGUACCCGCAGAAGAAGCCCCGGCUAACUUCGUGCCAGCAGCCGCGGUAAUACGAAGGGGGCUAGCGUUGCUCGGAAUGACUGGGCGUAAAGGGCGCGUAGGCGGAUUGCGUAGUCAGAUGUGAAAUUCCUGGGCUCAACCUGGGGACUGCAUUUGAUACGCGCAGUCUAGAGUUUGGAAGAGGGUCGUGGAAUUCCCAGUGUAGAGGUGAAAUUCGUAGAUAUUGGGAAGAACACCGGUGGCGAAGGCGGCGACCUGGUCCUUGACUGACGCUGAGGCGCGAAAGCGUGGGGAGCAAACA